GGCUCUAUCGUCUAACGGUUAGGACACGUGCUUUUCAAGCACGGAAUCCGGGUUCGAUUCCCGGUAGAGUCA
This 72-nucleotide transfer RNA is filed under the name bacterium. Its description in RNAcentral is "tRNA-Glu". It matches the Rfam family "tRNA". From Rfam's summary of the family: Transfer RNA (tRNA) molecules are approximately 80 nucleotides in length. Their secondary structure includes four short double-helical elements and three loops (D, anti-codon, and T loops). The record is from RNAcentral.